This 2933-nucleotide long non-coding RNA is filed under the name Salvia miltiorrhiza (redroot sage). RNAcentral describes it as "long non-coding RNA (SMIL_LNC007450)". The record is from RNAcentral. Lineage: Eukaryota; Viridiplantae; Streptophyta; Magnoliopsida; Lamiales; Lamiaceae.
CAUAAUUUAUGCUCCAUUUUACUGAUAGUAUCAUAUUGACAUGCCUAGCAGCAGCUCCAGAAUUCCCAACAAGGAUUCCAGCAUCAUGAUCAUCCAAAAGAUCUACAUCUCACAAUACACUUAAUCCAAAUAUCUUCAAGAGCACCUAACAAGUCACAGAAAUGGGAAUCCAUCAAUGCUUAAAAAGAACCAGCCAUUGGAUCUGCAACAAACAGCAGAGAGAAACAUAUCAUAAGACGCAUUGGAUUUUGUAUCAUAUUAUACGAAAACCAAGCCAAACGCCAAACCUCAGGAAACUGCAAAUGUUACAAGGUCAUCACAACAAAGAAUGUCUUUACUACUAAGUCGAGAUGAUGGUAUGAGCAGCUGCAUGCUCAAAGAAUAAACAAUUAACGACAAAUCUAAAACAAGAGACCGUGAUAGAAUUGUACUGAAACAUAUAAUAGUAUCACAUCUCAUAAAUUCUACACAUAAUGGAAAAGCUGUAAAUUACUACCAUAAAUAUAUCAGCAGAAGCACUUCCGAAGAAUUGUACCAGGAUGCUGGUAGAGUGCAAGAUUAUGAAUAUAUAAAAAUGACCCAACACCAAAUAUAAUUAUUAAGGCAAUGGAAGCAUGAAGAUCAAUGAAAUCAGAGACUAUAAGAAAGUGAGAAAACCAAUGUACUCCCUCUGUCCAUGAAACAUCUUCCUAUUUUUUCCAUUUUCGUCUGUCCAUCAAACAACUUCCAAGUCCAUUUUUGAAAAUAAUUCAACUGACUAUCACUCUUACCAUUCUCAUAUAUUUACACACAUUGCCACUAAUGUACCCACCACUUCUGAAAAUAACCCCACCAACUAUCACCACUUUUUCUAAUUUGUGAGACCCCUUCUUCACUCACCAAAUAUACAACUAACUUUACUUACAACCCGUGCCGUCUCCCCUUAGGAAGAUGUUUCAUGGACGGAGGGAGUACUAUUUAACACUUAAAAUACAGAAGUAGCUACUCCGCUUUAGACAAAUUCCCUGUUUGCAACUCCGCAAACCUAAAUGAUAGUUUAGGAAUGGAUUGAAACAAAUACAUAGUUCCUACAAGCAUCCACCAUAAUGAAUGUGAUACCAGCAUUAUAAUGUUUGGAUGACCUAAUAAAUUGAACACAAAACUGAGGUUGAAAAUGCAUCGAGAAAGAACAACCUCAGACUAGAACAGGAAGACUGCUAAAAUAUCUUAUUGAAACCGUUUCAAGUUCCAAUAGCUCUGCUCCAGUAUCAAGCUUAUCUGUAUAAAGCUUCAAUACGAUAUAAGUGAAAAUAAUAUUUAGCAGUCCAUGUUAUUCGAAAUUGUAAGUAGUUCACAAGAGCAUUGUUUCACUUAAAUAGGCUUAAAAUUUGGAAUACUCAAUGUUAUUCAGCGUAAGAUUUCUGUUGCACCAAGCUGAAAGCUGUGAACUAGUAAAUCUAUAAUGACCAAACCCUAAUUCUUUAAAAUUAAUGUCAAAAUAGAAUUGAUGCAUGGAUGCCAAUAAUAGAAGUUACAAUAACAGACCAGUAAAUCAAAUCACAGACAAGGUAUACAGUUGGAGAGUGAAUGAAGAAGAAGAUGAAAACAAGCAUCCGUAGUAAGGACUAAGGACAAUGCCUUAUUAGUUAUCUACUUCUUUCCCUAUUGUAUAUCUCUUCUCAUUCUUCUUUUGCACUUCUAUUAUGUAUUCCCUCCGUCCCACUAUAAGUGACUCAAAACUUUUCGGUACGAGAAUUAAGAAGAAUGUAUAAAUGUGUUAAAGUUGGUAAGGUCCACACUUUUUGAAGGGUUAAACUUUGCCAUUUGUGGAAAUAGGCCACUUAUAAUGGGACGGCCCAAAACAAAAUACAGGCCACUUUUAGUGGGACGGAAGGAGUAUGUUUUAUCUUUUGUGUAAUUUACGGAAAACUAAUCUAGGAUGACUAAUGACUUACAACUUCAAUACCAUAGUCACACUAAAAAUGAAAUCAGGCAAACAAGUGCUACAAUACAGCAGAACUAUGUAUUAGUAAAACAAUAGGCACACAGCUUUUAGAUUCACAAGUAACAACUAGUUUUAGCUCAGUCAUAGCCUCAUAGGAUAAUUAUUUAGUGCAUUUUCAAAUAAUAAGGCAACUCCCAUAUCCAAAAGCCCCACGCCACUUGAGGGAACGACGGUCUGAGAUGUAAGUAAGCAAUGCUAGAGGUGAGAUCACCAAAAACCGAUUUCUGUCAAAUCCUUUUAUCGGUAGACACCUGAGUUCGCUUUUGAGCUAACUUUAGUGGAUGAAAUGGCAGCAGAGUCGUGAACAGGAAAAGCCCCCAACGAGUAGAGACUUGUAUUCUAUCAAUCUUGUCUUGGUUUUUCCAAGAAAGAUCCCUCAGGGAACACAUUCCCAAUCAGUCAAAGCUUUGAAGUUAACAUUGAUAAUCUUUUCUUUUUCUCAAGAAAGGAAGUCUUUCCUUCAGCCAUCAAGCCUUCAACCAAGCAUAACUGAUCCUCUCUCUUGGGAGAGAUCGGAGUAGAGAGUGCUUAUCAAGCUUUUCCGGCAUGUAAAGGAUUUUCAACUUUCGUUAGAGGAGUUGGACUGCGGUCCCGCGAAGCUGGGAACUGCUUGUUCUUCUUUGAACGGCUUAGCAGCUCUUCCAAAGACAGCCAAUAACGAUAUCAUACUGGUUCACCGAGUACAUACUGGAUUCUAUAGCCCUACGCUAGUUACUAAUGCUCAUGGUCACAUGAGUAUGCAUACCAUCAUCCAAAACAACACAAAAACAAAUUAAUGAACUGCAACGUAUUAUGGUCAUACCUGUUAAAAACAAACAUACUCUGUGCUUCCUAUCAAGCUUUUUAAGCUCCAAGCGAUGCAACUCGGCAUUGAGUUUCCUCCACUUCUCUUCAAGCUCAAGUGCAUUCUCUGGCUAAUGGAACACAUUCCUUCAUGGCAAACUUGGGG